UACAGAGGGGGCAAGCGUUGUUCGGAAUUACUGGGCGUAAAGGGCGCGUAGGCGGCCCGCUAAGUCGAACGUGAAAUCCCCGAGCUCAACUCGGGAACUGCGUCCGAUACUGGCGGGCUUGAAUCCGGGAGAGGGAUGCGGAAUUCCAGGUGUAGCGGUGAAAUGCGUAGAUAUCGGGAGGAACACCAGUGGCGAAGGCGACUACCUGGCCUGUUUCUUGACGCUGAGGCGCGAAAGCUAGGGGAGCAAACGGG
Molecule: ribosomal RNA, 254 nt
Filed under: uncultured bacterium
Lineage: Bacteria
Description: partial 16S ribosomal RNA
Rfam family: Bacterial small subunit ribosomal RNA
Source: RNAcentral